AAUGAACGCUGGCGGCGCGCCUAAUACAUGCAAGUCGAGCGAGAAGACGUAGCAAUACGUUUGUAAAGCGGCGAACGGGUGAGGAAUACAUGGGUAACCUACCCUAGAGUGGGGAAUAACUAGCCGAAAGGUUAGCUAAUACCGCGUACGCUCCUUGGACUUCGGUUCAGGGAGGAAAGCGAUGCCGAGGGUAUCGCGCUCUUGGAUGGGCUCAUGUCCUAUCAGCUUGNGGUGAGGUAACGGCUCACCAAGGCUUCGACGGGUAGCUGGUCUGAGAGGACGAUCAGCCACACUGGCACUGCGACACGGGCCAGACUCCUACGGGAGGCAGCAGUAAGGAAUAUUGCGCAAUGGGCG
This 357-nucleotide ribosomal RNA is filed under the name uncultured bacterium. RNAcentral describes it as "bacterial SSU rRNA". It matches the Rfam family "Bacterial small subunit ribosomal RNA", at positions 29 to 377 of the family's 1533-position model. The record is from RNAcentral.